UGAGGAAUAUUGGGCAAUGCCCGCAAGGGUGACCCAGCAACGCCGCGUGGAGGAUGAAUGUCGUAAGAUUGUAAACUCCUGUUAGAGGGGAAGAAUAGUACCGGUUGGACCGGUAUAUGACUGUACCCUCAGAGAAAGCCCCGGCUAACUACGUGCCAGCAGCCGCGGUAAUACGUAGGGGGCAAGCGUUGUCCGGAUUUACUGGGUGUAAAGGGCGCGCAGGCGGGAUAAAAAGUCAGUGGUGAAAUCCUACAGCUUAACUGUAGAACUGCCUUUGAUACUUUUAUUCUUGAGUUCGGGAGAGAGAGACGGAAUUCCAGGUGUAGUGGUGAAAUACGUAGAUAUCUGGAAGAACACCAGCUGCGAAGGCGGUCUCUUGGUCCGACACUGACGCUGAGGCGCGAAAGCGUGGGGAGCAAAC
This 421-nucleotide ribosomal RNA is filed under the name uncultured bacterium. RNAcentral describes it as "bacterial SSU rRNA". It matches the Rfam family "Bacterial small subunit ribosomal RNA", at positions 355 to 773 of the family's 1533-position model. The record is from RNAcentral.